Drosophila sulfurigaster albostrigata is the source of this 2131-nucleotide RNA transcript. It is a transcript of the gene named annexin B11, with no coding region annotated. The transcript has 9 exons. NCBI's taxonomy places the organism in Eukaryota, Metazoa, Arthropoda, Insecta, Diptera, Drosophilidae. The record is from RefSeq and is a predicted model, not a curated record.
UAAGAAAUGUAUCUCGUCCACUAGCAACAAGUUGUUGUGUCGGCCCGCUCGGUCAGUCAAUAAUUGGUCGCUCAGUUAAUAUCAUCAUCAGUUGUUGGACGCUACACAAACGGUUCUUACGUACACACGUACGCCUUGAUACUUAAAUUUACAUUUUCGAAUCUCAGCGGAAAUCCUCCUCCCGUACAUCUAGUAAUAUCUCACAUCGAAAAGCAGUUGAUCAACAAUAUGUAUCCAUUCGGUUCUGGAAUGCCUCAACACCAACAACAACAACAACAACCACAGUAUCAGCAAUCGAAUGAUCAACCUAAGGUGCCGUUUGGCGUUGGUUGGGUAACCGCACCGAUGCCACAAAAUCCACCAUACCCAAUGCCAUCCAAUUCCCCGCCGUACGGCCAACCACAACAACAACAACAACAAUAUCCAAGCGGCGGCGGCGGCGGAGCUCCAUAUCCAAUGCAUGCGCCAUAUCCCAGCAGCAGCAACAGCGGCUCCAACACAACAUCAGCUCCGUAUCCAUACCCAAGCAAUAAUCCACCCCACAACCAACACCAUCAUCAACAUCAACACCACCACCAACAAUCCUCGCACCAUCAUCACUACCAACAACAACAACAACAGCAGCAGCAGCACCAAGUGCAAUAUGGUCAUAGUCCAAAUCGUGGCCAAAGCCAAAGUUACACUCAAACUCAGUCUUACACGUCGUCAUCGAUGUCAUCGCCAUAUGGCUUCAAUGCUGGCCAACAGUCUUACGGCCAGAGUCAGUCUUACGGCUUUGGACAGGGGCAGGCACAGGGGUAUGGACAGGGGUAUGGACAGGGGCAUGGACAGGGGCAAGGGUAUGGUCAGAUGCAUGUGCAGCAGCAGCGGUCGCUCAAUCAACACUUUACAGCCCACAAAGAGGGAACUCCCACAUUGGUGCCGGCUCAGGGCUUUGAUCCGGUGAAGGAUGCCCACGAUUUGCGCAAGGCGAUGAAGGGUUUUGGCACCGAUGAGGACAAGCUCAUCGAGAUCAUCUGUCGCCGCAACAAUGAGCAGCGCCAGGAGAUUCAGCGCCAGUAUAAGACGCAUUUCGGCAAGGAUCUGAUCGAGGACAUCAAGUCGGAGACGAGCGGCAACUUUGAGAAGCUGCUCGUUGGCCUGUUGCGUCCCAUUGUCGACUAUUAUUGCAUCGAAUUGAACGAUGCGAUGGCUGGCAUUGGCACCGACGAGGAGGUCCUCAUCGAAAUCCUUUGCACGCUCUCCAACAUUGAGAUCCACACCAUCAAGAAUCAAUAUUUGCGCUUAUUUGGCGCACACUUGGAGUCCGAACUGAAAUCGGAGACGUCGGGCAACUUCAAGCGCCUGCUCACAUCGUUGUGCACAGCGGCGCGAGAGGAGAGCGGACGUGUCGAUCCCGCAAUGGCCAAAAACGAUGCCCGGGAGCUGCUCAAGGCGGGUGAACUGCGUGUCGGCACCGAUGAAAGCAUGUUCAACAUGAUUCUCUGCGAGCGCAACUAUCAGCAGCUUAAACUUAUAUUCCAAGAGUACGAGAGCAUGACGGGCCACUCACUGGAGAAGGCCAUCAAAAAGGAGUUCUCCGGCGACAUUAUGGAGGGCCUCAUUGCUAUCUACAAGUGUGUCACAAAUAAAACCGAGUAUUUUGCAUCGCGCUUGCACAAAUCAAUGGCCGGCAUCGGCACCAAUGACAAGCAGCUGAUUCGUGUCAUCAUCACGCGCAGCGAGAUCGAUUUGGCGGAUAUUAAGGUCGCUUAUGAGCGCUUGUACGGCAAGUCGCUGAAGAGUUGGAUUAAGGGCGAUACUUCUGGACAUUACAAACAUGCUUUGUAUGCGCUGAUUGGUGAACAACGCUCAUCUUAAGGGAACAACAAAAGACCAUUCGGGAGCAGAAGAAAAUAAACCAAACCAAAAAGGAAAAAAAAAUUGACAAAAAAAAAAAAAAAGAAAAGAAAUCUCUUUGCAUUAAUGCAUCAACUAUUUUGGUCUAGUGGUAUAUUGAUCUAUAAUGUCGACUCGAACUUCUUGCGCAUCUGUAGCUUGCGUUGUUUUCCGGGGAAAAUGCUGAAGCCUUUGAUCUUUAGAGCCUUCUUCAGCAUUCGCAGCGUGAAAUCGGGCAGCAAACUGGCGAUGA